UCUCCGUAGGUGAACCUGCGGAGGGAUCAUUACUGAGUGAGGGUCUCCGGGCCCGACCUCCAACCCUUUUGUGAACCACCUCGUUGCUUCGGGGGCGACCCUGCCGUUCGCGGCGUGGGGCCCCCGGUGGACCACCCAACCCUGCAUCGUUGCGUCUGAGUCGAAAUAUAAAAAAAUCAAAACUUUCAACAAAGGAUCUCUUGGUUCUGGCAUCGAUGAAGAAAGCAGC
RNAcentral lists this unclassified non-coding RNA (229 nucleotides) under uncultured fungus. Its description in RNAcentral is "sequence contains ITS1, 5.8S rRNA gene". The stretch from base 181 to 229 matches the Rfam family "5.8S ribosomal RNA", at positions 1 to 49 of the family's 154-position model. Lineage: Eukaryota; Fungi. The record is from RNAcentral.